GACGAACGCCGGCGGCGUGCUUAACACAUGCAAGUCGAACGGAAAGGCCCUUUCGGGGGUACUCGAGUGGCGAACGGGUGAGUAACACGUGGGUGAUCUGCCCUGCACUUUGGGAUAAGCCUGGGAAACUGGGUCUAAUACCGAAUACACCCUGCUGGUCGCAUGGCCUGGUGGGGGAAAGCUUUUGCGGUGUGGGAUGGGCCCGCGGCCUAUCAGCUUGUUGGUGGGGUGAUGGCCUACCAAGGCGACGACGGGUAGCCGGCCUGAGAGGGUGUCCGGCCACACUGGGACUGAGAUACGGCCCAGACUCCUACGGGAGGCAGCAGUGGGGAAUAUUGCACAAUGGGGGCAACCCUGAUCCAGCCAUGCCGCGUGCGGG
Molecule: ribosomal RNA, 379 nt
Filed under: uncultured bacterium
Lineage: Bacteria
Description: bacterial SSU rRNA
Rfam family: Bacterial small subunit ribosomal RNA
Source: RNAcentral